UAGCGCAUUACGCGUUGCAGACAGGUGG
This 28-nucleotide small RNA is filed under the name Bombyx mori (domestic silkworm). Its description in RNAcentral is "ovarian small RNA-6366". The record is from RNAcentral. Lineage: Eukaryota; Metazoa; Arthropoda; Insecta; Lepidoptera; Bombycidae.